This 450-nucleotide ribosomal RNA is filed under the name uncultured bacterium. Its description in RNAcentral is "partial 16S ribosomal RNA". It matches the Rfam family "Bacterial small subunit ribosomal RNA", at positions 354 to 796 of the family's 1533-position model. The record is from RNAcentral.
GUGGGGAAUCUUCCGCAAUGGACGAAAGUCUGACGGAGCAACGCCGCGUGAGUGAAGAAGGUUUUCGGAUCGUAAAGCUCUUUCGUUAGGGACGAACGUGCUCUUUGUGAAUAAUGAGGAGUAAUGACGGUACCUAAAUAAGAAGCCACGGCUAACUACGUGCCAGCAGCCGCGGUAAUACGUAGGUGGCAAGCGUUGUCCGGAAUUAUUGGUCGUAAAGCGCGCGCAGGCGGGAUAUCAAGUCUGUCUUAAAAGUGCGAGGCUCAACCUCGUGAGGGGACAGAAACUGGUAUUCUUGAGUGUCGGAGAGGAAAGUGGAAUUCCAAGUGUAGCGGUGAAAUGCGUAGAGAUUUGGAAGAACACCAGUGGCGAAGGCGACUUUCUGGACGAUGUCUGACGCUGAGGCGCGAAAGCUAGGGGAGCGAACGGGAUUAGAAACCCCGGUAGUCC